UAAGAGUUAGUUUAAGGGUGAAUAGAAUUAUUGAUUGUUGAUCAAAGGGUUGUCUCUUAA
Molecule: transfer RNA, 60 nt
Filed under: Angiostrongylus costaricensis
Lineage: Eukaryota; Metazoa; Nematoda; Chromadorea; Rhabditida; Metastrongylidae
Description: tRNA-Asn
Source: RNAcentral